CAGGGCUGGCGAUUGGACAGCCGGAAGGGGGGCCGUUACACUGUAAGAGAGUGAGUACCAGGUCUCACAGUGAACCGGUCUCUUUCCCGACUGGAUCUGGCUCCCAGACGG
Ornithorhynchus anatinus (platypus) is the source of this 111-nucleotide non-coding RNA. RefSeq annotates it as microRNA mir-128-2. The transcript has a single exon. Lineage: Eukaryota; Metazoa; Chordata; Mammalia; Monotremata; Ornithorhynchidae. The record is from RefSeq and is marked provisional.